CUCGCUGCUCCUACAACGUGCGCAAGCGCAGUUGUCCAAGGCCCAGCAGCAAUAUGAAGCUUCGCGCCCACCAGAAGGAAGAAGGCUUGUGUGAGACCUACCUGGCUUAAUAGACCAAUUCUGAGUCACAGUAGCCAUAGACCGUUGUCUUGUAAUGUUCGUCCUUUUGGUCCAGAGCAUGAGAGCAUGCCUCAAAGAGAUGACACACCCCGGCGACUGUCCAAGACUGGAACAAGCCUCUACGCAGUACUGGAACUAAAGAAAGGUGCCCGGCCUGAAGAGGUCAAAAAAGCCUACAGGAAACUGGCCUUGCAGUAUCAUCCCGACAAGAAUCCAGGGGACACUCAAGCAGCAGAAUUCUUCAAAGAGAUCAACACAGCCCAUGCUGUACUCAGUGACCCUACCAAAAAGAAAAUCUACGACCAGCAUGGCUCACUGGGAAUAUAUCUAUUUGAUCAUUUUGGUGAAGAAGGCGUCAGAUACUAUUUUAUUGUGAACAGCUGUUGGUUCAAGACACUUGUCAUCCUUUGCUGCCUCUUGACCGGCUGCUGUUGCUGCUGCUGUGGCUGCUGCUUUUGCUGUGGAAAUCUUAUUCCACCACCCGAGGAAGUUUAUAGGAAGCAGCAGAGGAACGUCUGUGCUCAGCCCGGGAGAUUAGGAGCACAGUGCAAGGUUGAAGUAGAGGAUGAAGACAGCGAUAACUAAUACGGAAAUGUGCAUAAGAGUGAGGUAUGCAAACGGGGAGCCGCAAUGGCUACCAGGUGCUGAAUCAGUGAGAGCCUCCUGCCACCCAGCCCACUGGACUCACUGAAGAGAGAAGCAAGUAGCCCUAGCCUGACAUUGACCCUGACUUGACUCCUGUUCUUAAAAACAAUCGAUGCCGACGUCAACCUAGAAAGGGCAGCAUCUCCCUGUGCCCUCGGGGUGCCACCGAGCCUGUCCACACAGAGCCUUCUGCCGCUCUUCCUUAGCUCUAGCUCCAUCCCCCAUCUCUAUCCACUCGAGGUCUCAGUCCAUGGUGGCAGGCAUUUCCUGAGAACUCCUUUUCCAUUGCGUACCUAGCUACUUGUCAUGUCCGGUGGGUCCCUGAGCACUUGCUGAUCAGCUUCACCAAGACCCUCAUCACCAAGCAAGGUGACUGCUGUCCCAAGGGCUGGUGGCCCAGUUAAUCCUCCUUAAUUGCAACUUUGUGUACCGAGAACUUCUAGCACCGGCCAGCCUCAUUUCUUAGCGAUGCCCCUUAGGGAGGCAAGUCUCACUCUCUUCUCAUACCUCCACAUUGGCAUUGACAUCCUACUCAUAAGACAGCUUGGGAAAUAUGUGAGUGCAUUUGAGGUUUGUGGUUUCCCUUUGGACUUCAGCCCCAUGCCUGGACCCGUUAUCAGCCGUGGUCCUGUGGACUGGCUACAGCCCAUGCAGCAGUGCCUGCUGCCUCCACCCUUUAGACACCUCAUACAGGCCAUCACCGUGUAUUUGUUCCUAACACGGACGUGGACUGUGAUGGAGACAGACGGUCCUCGGGAACGUCACUCCAGCCUCAGAGUGCUGCUGGCUUGGCGCCCUCUCCAUAUCCUCUUCACCGUUUGUUACUCACAUGGGACGGGGUACGAACCCUCAAACCUCUGUGCCCCCACUGGGAGAAGGGCUAAAUAAAGAAUGUUGGUAA
Myodes glareolus (Bank vole) is the source of this 1666-nucleotide RNA transcript. It is a transcript of the gene named DnaJ heat shock protein family (Hsp40) member C5 gamma, with no coding region annotated. Lineage: Eukaryota; Metazoa; Chordata; Mammalia; Rodentia; Cricetidae. The record is from RefSeq and is a predicted model, not a curated record.